This 464-nucleotide ribosomal RNA is filed under the name uncultured bacterium. RNAcentral's name for it is "bacterial SSU rRNA". It matches the Rfam family "Bacterial small subunit ribosomal RNA", at positions 28 to 507 of the family's 1533-position model. The record is from RNAcentral.
GACGAACGCUGGCGGCGCGCCUAACACAUGCAAGUCGAACGGAGCUUAGAGAGCUUGCUUUUUAAGCUUAGUGGCGAACGGGUGAGUAACGCGUGAGUAACCUGCCCUAGAGUGGGGGACAACAGUUGAAAACGACUGCUAAUACCGCAUAAGCGCACAGUGCCGCAUGGCACGGUGUGAAAAACUCCGGUGGUCUGGGAUGGACCCGCGUCCGAUUAGUUAGUUGGCGGGGUAACGGCCCACCAAGACCGCGAUCGGUAGCCGACCUGAGAGGGUGACCGGCCACAUUGGGACUGAGACACGGCCCAGACUCCUACGGGAGGCAGCAGUGGGGAAUAUUGCACAAUGGAGGAAACUCUGAUGCAGCGACGCCGCGUGAGCGAAGAAGUAUUUCGGUAUGUAAAGCUCUGUCAGCAGGGAAGAUAAUGACGGUACCUGACCAAGAAGCCCCGGCUAACUACGUG